RNAcentral lists this ribosomal RNA (572 nucleotides) under Botrytis cinerea. RNAcentral describes it as "eukaryotic LSU rRNA". The stretch from base 208 to 361 matches the Rfam family "5.8S ribosomal RNA". The record is from RNAcentral. Lineage: Eukaryota; Fungi; Ascomycota; Leotiomycetes; Helotiales; Sclerotiniaceae.
AUUAGAGGAAGUAAAAGUCGUAACAAGGUUUCCGUAGGUGAACCUGCGGAAGGAUCAUUACAGAGUUCAUGCCCGAAAGGGUAGACCUCCCACCCUUGUGUAUUAUUACUUUGUUGCUUUGGCGAGCUGCCUUCGGGCCUUGUAUGCUCGCCAGAGAAUACCAAAACUCUUUUUAUUAAUGUCGUCUGAGUACUAUAUAAUAGUUAAAACUUUCAACAACGGAUCUCUUGGUUCUGGCAUCGAUGAAGAACGCAGCGAAAUGCGAUAAGUAAUGUGAAUUGCAGAAUUCAGUGAAUCAUCGAAUCUUUGAACGCACAUUGCGCCCCUUGGUAUUCCGGGGGGCAUGCCUGUUCGAGCGUCAUUUCAACCCUCAAGCUUAGCUUGGUAUUGAGUCUAUGUCAGUAAUGGCAGGCUCUAAAAUCAGUGGCGGCGCCGCUGGGUCCUGAACGUAGUAAUAUCUCUCGUUACAGGUUCUCGGUGUGCUUCUGCCAAAACCCAAAUUUUUCUAUGGUUGACCUCGGAUCAGGUAGGGAUACCCGCUGAACUUAAGCAUAUCAAUAAGCCGGAGGAAA